CCGAGCCUGCUUCUCCCCUCCUCCGCCGCUGCGGUCGACCCCGAUCGAUGGAGAUGCGGAGAUACCACCGAGUCCUACGAUCGGUGGCUGCCCCUGCGCUGCUCCUGCUCCUGCUACUCACCCUCGUCCUACCGUUUAUUCAGACCCAGAUGCAGAGCGCACGGGAGAAGGCUGCCGACGAGCUGCCGUUGGACGGAGGCAUCGUCGACACGCCGGGGGCAGAGAACGACCUCAGGAUCGUCGACCUCGCCCGCUUCGCCGUCUCCGAGCACAAGAACAGGACCGUAAGCCCUCCCUCUUCCCCUGUUCAAUCUGUAUGUUUGUGUUCAACACCCAGCCGGACGGUUCGAUCGACGCAGGUCCUUCCUUGUGUAGGAGUAUUAUUACAUCGAUCUAUGUUAAAUUUGACUGCUGCAAAUACUACUAGAGGAACAACCCAAUUACAUCUUGAAAUCGACGCAUGGAAAUGGAGGUUUUUACUUUUUAGUGGGACUAAUUUUAGUUGCAGAACGCACUGCUGGAGUUCGAGAAAGUGGUGAAGCUGAAGCAGCAAGUUGUUGCUGGCAUGAUGUAUUACAUUACGAUUCAGGUCAAUGAGGGCGGGGCAAAGAAGAUGUAUGAAGCCAAGGUGUGGGAGCAGCCAUGGAUGGAUUUCAAGAAGCUCAUGGAGUUCAGGCCGGCGGAGGGCGCCUCUGCGAGCGCUUAAGGUGGGUCGGUCUCAGCUGUUUAAGGAUCUGCAGAUAUGGUGUGGAUAUAGCUAUCUAUCUAUGGGACAUGUGCUCUCUUGUGGGUCAGAGGGGAUUAUGGUCGGUGCUGCUGACAGUUUUGGACCCGGUCGAACCUUUAGAAAAGCGCGCUGCGACAGGGAGGCUGACAUGACGGCGCAGGCAGCAAGGGGCGACGGCACGGCUGGACUGGAAUCCUGUACCAAGGAAGGAGGCUGGCGGUGCAGCCGCGCACUGCAUGAAGUGUUGUUCUGUAUGUUGGGCUCCUGAAUUGAGCGCAGUGCUGCUGAAUCUGUGUGCCUAGCAUCUGGCACUUAUUGGUUGCUGCAGUUUGGAUGAUGUAUGCAGUGUGCGGAUGAGCCGAGGUGCGUCCAGAUCUGAAGACCGGCUCAGGGGCUACUAACGAGGUGACUAACAAUGUCCCGGCUAGGGAGCCUCUCAUCAUGUUGACUCCCGGCCUAGUGGACCGGGCUGAAGACCCGUUGUCAUUUCGAAACUGGGCCCAUCGGGCGGCCCAUGACGUAUGAUCAGAAGGUUCCAGAAGACUUGCAUACACUACAAGAUGCUGGUACCGUGGAGGACUCUAACUCCUCGCACAUAGCCGACUAGGAUCCAUCACUUGUCUUUGGGGUUCCAACGCCCCAAUGCUGCCCGCCACGGGUCUCAAACACAAGUCGUCGUCACCAGCACCGGUGGGGGUUGGUUUUGCAACACUUGUCACUGCUGGCGAAAAAGGGGUGGGGUGGGCAGCCAUGGCCACAACAGAAUAGAAGAAACAAAAGUGGGCGGUGGCCAUGGCCAGCCAGCACAGCCUGUCGCCGGUGGAGGAAGGCUAGUAUCUACAAAGAGGAAGAGGGGAGAGAGCGGUGCUCACGAUGCAUUGGAGUGCACUCGUGCGCGAGCAAAAGAUUGAACGGACAUUGUUCAUCUCCGAAGAGAUAAGGUAGAAGGAGAGAUGAGAUGGUCGUUCGAUGGUGGAUCCAUGUGCAAACGAGCAAAGUAUAGAUGUUGCUGCCCUGUUUUGUUACAUACAAAAAAAUAAUUAAAACAAUGGAAAUGUAUAGAUGUUACCUCCAAAUAUUUAGUCCACACAUGGUUGCUAUCAA
Molecule: RNA transcript, 1831 nt
Organism: Triticum aestivum (bread wheat)
Lineage: Eukaryota; Viridiplantae; Streptophyta; Magnoliopsida; Poales; Poaceae
Gene name: cysteine proteinase inhibitor A
Exons: 4
Source: RefSeq, a predicted model, not a curated record